RNAcentral lists this ribosomal RNA (414 nucleotides) under uncultured Funneliformis. RNAcentral describes it as "partial 28S ribosomal RNA". Lineage: Eukaryota; Fungi; Glomeromycota; Glomeromycetes; Glomerales; Glomeraceae. The record is from RNAcentral.
GAGAGUUAAACAGUACGUGAAAUUGUUGAAAGGGAAACGAUUGAAGUCAGUCAUACCAACGGGAAAUCAACCUCUUGAGUUUGGUCUCGUGGGUUUCGAAGAGUUUAAAAGCCUUCGGAUUUUCGAGAUUGGGCUCUUCUGGUGUACUUUCUCGUACGGUUAGUCAACAUCGGUUUUGAAUGUCAUAAAAUGACUGGAGGAAUGUGGCUUCGAUCUCGUAUUGAAGUGUUAUAGCCUUUGGUAGAUGUGAUGUUCAAGACCGAGGAUUGCAACGGAUACCCUUCUGGGCUAUUCGUCUGAUCUCUGAAACGUUGCCUCGAUGUCGAAAGCUUGCUUAUGAUGUUAGGGUAUUACGAUCAAAAGGUUAGAACGGAUUAAAUUCGUUAAGGAUGUUGACGUAAUGACUUUAAACGA